This 477-nucleotide ribosomal RNA is filed under the name uncultured bacterium. RNAcentral's name for it is "bacterial SSU rRNA". It matches the Rfam family "Bacterial small subunit ribosomal RNA", at positions 32 to 507 of the family's 1533-position model. The record is from RNAcentral.
AAUCAACGCUGGCGGCGUGCCUAACACAUGCAAGUCGAACGAGAAAGUGGGGGCAACCCUGCGAGUACAGUGGCAGACGGGUGAGUAACACGUGAACAACCUACCCUUGAGUGGGGAAUAACACCGCGAAAGCGGAGCUAAUACCGCAUAACAUCUUGAGCUCGCAUGGGCGAGAGAUCAAAGCCGAAAGGCGCUUGAGGAGGGGUUCGCGGCUGAUUAGCUAGUUGGUGAGGUAACGGCUCACCAAGGCGACGAUCAGUAGCCGGCCUGAGAGGGCGAACGGCCACACUGGAACUGAGACACGGUCCAGACUCCUACGGGAGGCAGCAGGUGGGGUAAUUUUGCGCAAUGGGACGAAAGCCUGACGCAGCAACGCCGCGUGGAGGAUGAAGGCCUUCGGGUCGUAAACUCCUGUCGACGGGAAGAAAGCCGAAAGGUUUGACUGUACCCGUUGAGGAAGCCACGGCUAACUCCGUG